CGCGGGGUGGAGCAGUUGGCAGCUCGUCGGGCUCAUAACCCGAAGGUCGUAGGUUCAAAUCCUACCCCCGCAA
Molecule: transfer RNA, 73 nt
Filed under: Firmicutes bacterium HGW-Firmicutes-7
Lineage: Bacteria; Bacillati; Bacillota
Description: tRNA-Met
Rfam family: tRNA
About the family: Transfer RNA (tRNA) molecules are approximately 80 nucleotides in length.
Source: RNAcentral